GACACACACAGCGGUGAGCCACCUCGUGUGGUGCAGUCCUGUGGAGCCCCUGGUCUGUCUGCUGUACCACCCGGGGCUGUGGGCUGGACCACUGCAGACAAGUGGCUCCCCUUGGCACCCUCGGGGCUGGGCCUGGCAUGGGGACUCACCAAGAGACCCGCAGCUGCUGGACAUGGGCCACAGGGCCUGUGCUGCCCCGGCCGACAUGGGAGCACGGCCACAGUGCAGAGAGGACACAGAAAGAAACCACCUGGGCUCAGAGUGACAGAGAGCAUCCCCUCUGCCCCACCUCUCGGUUCUGGUUGCAGUGGCCUGGACAAAGCAGCUGGGCCUCUAGCUGGCUGCCUUCAGGACUGAGAGGUGGGGGGCUCAGAGCCCUCCAAAGCCAAGGGAAGGCCCCUCCCAGGAGGCCGGGGAUCCCGGAAGAGCAGCCCCAGUCCCAUGGCUCUGCGCUCCUCCAUGGUCAUGGAGAGGUGCUGAUGCUCCUGGUCAUAAGGAGGAAGUACCUGCGGUGCUGGCGCCUCGAGGUUCGGCUUCACAGGUUCCAGGCUUCCCAGAAUGCCAGGCGCCUGGCAGUGAUUUGGAGGAGCUGGGCAGAUGCUCGAAGGGGGCAGCAGCUGUCUCGGGCCCUGCUCAGGCAGUGGCACCUGGGACAGGCCUGGAGGAUAUGGCGGCGGCGGGUCCUGCAGCUGCGGGUAGCUGUGAGGCUACAGCAGCAAGAAGGUGCCUGGGUCCUCUCCCAGGCCUUUGAAAAGUGGCAUCAGUGCUUGGUGGCCAGACGCCAAAGGAGGAGCGCCACCAGCAGCCUGAGUCCCCUGACAGGCCAGGCACCAGGGCCUUGAGAGCAUGCUGGAAGCUGCCCAGUCCCUGGUGUGGCGGGCUUGGACCAGAACAGGGGUCCAACCUGCUGCGAGGCAUUCCCACAGAAUAAGAAGCAGAGGAGAGCCUGGCCUUCCCAGGGAGGGGCAGUGCCCCCCACACCCGGAAUAUCGACAGCUCAGGGAGCUCUGAAGUACAAUAAAGGCCUCCGUGGUCUCCGAUGCUGCUCUUGC
This 1052-nucleotide long non-coding RNA is filed under the name Urocitellus parryii (Arctic ground squirrel). RNAcentral describes it as "lncRNA (ENSUPAG00010003673.1)". Lineage: Eukaryota; Metazoa; Chordata; Mammalia; Rodentia; Sciuridae. The record is from RNAcentral.